This 130-nucleotide small nucleolar RNA is filed under the name Nannospalax galili (Upper Galilee mountains blind mole rat). RNAcentral describes it as "Small nucleolar RNA SNORA81 (ENSNGAG00000006618.1)". It matches the Rfam family "Small nucleolar RNA SNORA81", at positions 53 to 179 of the family's 179-position model. The record is from RNAcentral. Lineage: Eukaryota; Metazoa; Chordata; Mammalia; Rodentia; Spalacidae.
AGUUUUUAAAAAAUGGAUAAUGCUAGCAGAGUACCACAAGUUGUGCACUGAAUCUCAAAGUGCAGUGCACUGGGGUGGACUGCUUUCUUAAAGUCCAGUAUCCUUUGUCUUAAGAUUUGGUGCAGUAUAA